Molecule: long non-coding RNA, 1659 nt
Filed under: Androctonus crassicauda
Lineage: Eukaryota; Metazoa; Arthropoda; Arachnida; Scorpiones; Buthidae
Source: RNAcentral
GUCCUGUCGGGGACAUCCGACGAGGACCAGGGAACAAAGACGAAGAAUAAUCAUCAAGAAAAAUGAAGAAUUGAAGGAUCGAACUACUUUUAUACUCUCUCUCCCAGGUAUGAUCUCUCGCGUCGAAUAUCUCUCUCGAAUGGAAGAUGUUAAUAUGUUUUAUUUUAUUUUUAUUUUAAAUAAAUAUAUAUAUAUUUAUUCCAUAUGAGCAAUCAAAAUAACUCAAAAACUGCUAUAACCAUCUUAUCCUAAAGAAUCAAAGGAAGGGCUCAGCUCUAAUAAGACUCUGCUAAUAGCUGACUGCAAAAAGUUCAAACUUGAACACGUUUCUUUAUUAUCCAAAACAAAGUCUGCUUAUUUUCUCUAGUCUUAAGAAAAAAACUACAUUUAAAAACACAGAGAAAGAGCACUCCAUGUGAAUACCUUCCUGUCUGCAGAACUUGUGAGAUCUGUGUUUUGUAUCCAAUGCAAAUUAUAUGCUAUCCAAUCAAGACUAUUGCAGACCACCAUGGGGAUGGUUCCAAUCAAUGCUGUAAAUUGGUGAAUUUGGGAACUUUGAUGCAACCAACACUGCUCAUGUAAAUUCCACAGAGUUUUUUACAUCUUCCUCAGAGAACAUAAACCUCCCAUUACAGUUAAAAAGGGGAGGAUUCCCCUUUCAAUCUGAGGCUAACCAUUCCUUGAGCUGGAACUAUUAAGGCUUUUGUCCUUGAUUAAUCAUAUUUUUGGCAUAGUACACCACUUUGGGAUUGAUAUUUUAGGGAGUUUGUUUCCCAUGCAGAGUGUAUGAUGGGCUAAUUUUAAUUAUAACCCAUAGGAAUUUAGAAGUUUGGAAGGCAAACUACAGGAUAGCCUCACUUGGUGAUAAUGGAUACAGCCAGCUCUUGUUCUAUCCCAGUGCAGGACAUUGUCUCUUGGUAAUCAAUGGUUGGCUAUGCCCACUUUUUGAUACUGUAGAUUAUUCUACUGAAAACUAGACAAGCCAUCUAAAUGGAACAAAUCCUACCUGGAUGCCCCACUAGAGAUGGGACACGGACACGGUUGUGCAAGUCUGAAUCUCCUGUGUCACUUAGGGAUACUGGUAUAGUAGUAGUAGUAGUAGUAGUAGUAGUAAGAGGGAGGGGCCUAUACAGCCCAAGCACUGCGACCAAUACAGGUCUAUUAUGCGAUACUGGUAUAUGUUUGCACAGACACCAGGCAGAUGCAGAGACAUCUUGGAAAAAUGUCAUCCUAAGUGAGAAUCUCUUAGUGCAUCUCAGACACUAAGAACAUAUUGUACAGCUAAAUUAGAUAUAAGCAUAAUGUUUGCAGGAACAAACCCCCCUAUCUUAUUAAGAUGAGCUCUCAUCAAGAUCUUUCAUAUAUAAUGAACAUUUACUUUAAUCUCUUGAAAAAAUAAGAAUGUCAAGGUUGUAAUAGGGUUUGGAGACAUGGACUUUUUAACUCUCCUAGCACAAUUGAGUCCAUCCAGAUAUGUAACUAUACAAUAUGACUCAUGUUAAACUAUCAUAACAAGAAUUUAAAGGAGCAGAUUUAAAAAACAAUUUAAGAAAUAGAUGAUAUAUUCUGAAUGAUAUAUUAAAUAGAAAUUUAAUAUAUCAUUCAGAAGACAUGCUACAUUUUUAGCCUACUUUUUGAAGGAAAUGGAAGCUUAUAAGA